Molecule: ribosomal RNA, 520 nt
Filed under: Rhodococcus qingshengii
Lineage: Bacteria; Bacillati; Actinomycetota; Actinomycetes; Mycobacteriales; Nocardiaceae
Description: bacterial SSU rRNA
Rfam family: Bacterial small subunit ribosomal RNA
Source: RNAcentral
GGUGAUCUGCCCUGCACUUCGGGAUAAGCCUGGGAAACUGGGUCUAAUACCGGAUAUGACCUCCUAUCGCAUGGUGGGUGGUGGAAAGAUUUAUCGGUGCAGGAUGGGCCCGCGGCCUAUCAGCUUGUUGGUGGGGUAAUGGCCUACCAAGGCGACGACGGGUAGCCGACCUGAGAGGGUGACCGGCCACACUGGGACUGAGACACGGCCCAGACUCCUACGGGAGGCAGCAGUGGGGAAUAUUGCACAAUGGGCGAAAGCCUGAUGCAGCGACGCCGCGUGAGGGAUGACGGCCUUCGGGUUGUAAACCUCUUUCAGCAGGGACGAAGCGCAAGUGACGGUACCUGCAGAAGAAGCACCGGCUAACUACGUGCCAGCAGCCGCGGUAAUACGUAGGGUGCAAGCGUUGUCCGGAAUUACUGGGCGUAAAGAGUUCGUAGGCGGUUUGUCGCGUCGUUUGUGAAAACCAGCAGCUCAACUGCUGGCUUGCAGGCGAUACGGGCAGACUUGAGUACUGCAG